This 738-nucleotide ribosomal RNA is filed under the name Sphingobacterium siyangense subsp. cladoniae. RNAcentral's name for it is "bacterial SSU rRNA". It matches the Rfam family "Bacterial small subunit ribosomal RNA", at positions 22 to 749 of the family's 1533-position model. The record is from RNAcentral. Lineage: Bacteria; Pseudomonadati; Bacteroidota; Sphingobacteriia; Sphingobacteriales; Sphingobacteriaceae.
GCUCAGGAUGAACGCUAGCGGCAGGCCUAAUACAUGCAAGUCGGACGGGAUCCGUCGGAGAGCUUGCUCGAAGACGGUGAGAGUGGCGCACGGGUGCGUAACGCGUGAGCAACCUACCUCUAUCAGGGGGAUAGCCUCUCGAAAGAGAGAUUAACACCGCAUAACAUAUCUGACCGGCAUCGGUUAGMUAUUAAAUAUUUAUAGGAUAGAGAUGGGCUCGCGUGACAUUAGCUAGUUGGUAGGGUAACGGCUUACCAAGGCGACGAUGUCUAGGGGCUCUGAGAGGAGAAUCCCCCACACUGGUACUGAGACACGGACCAGACUCCUACGGGAGGCAGCAGUAAGGAAUAUUGGUCAAUGGGCGGAAGCCUGAACCAGCCAUGCCGCGUGCAGGAUGACUGCCCUAUGGGUUGUAAACUGCUUUUGUCCAGGAAUAAACCUUUCUACGUGUAGGAAGCUGAAUGUACUGGAAGAAUAAGGAUCGGCUAACUCCGUGCCAGCAGCCGCGGUAAUACGGAGGAUCCGAGCGUUAUCCGGAUUUAUUGGGUUUAAAGGGUGCGUAGGCGGCCUAUUAAGUCAGGGGUGAAAUACGGUGGCUCAACCAUCGCAGUGCCUUUGAUACUGAUGGGCUUGAAUCCAUUUGAAGUGGGCGGAAUAAGACAAGUAGCGGUGAAAUGCAUAGAUAUGUCUUAGAACUCCGAUUGCGAAGGCAGCUCACUAAGCUGGUAUUGACGCUGA